RNAcentral lists this ribosomal RNA (373 nucleotides) under Chelonoidis abingdonii (Abingdon island giant tortoise). RNAcentral's name for it is "partial 16S ribosomal RNA". It matches the Rfam family "Bacterial large subunit ribosomal RNA", at positions 1822 to 2348 of the family's 2925-position model. The record is from RNAcentral. Lineage: Eukaryota; Metazoa; Chordata; Testudines; Testudinidae.
CCAGCGAGAACAUAAGUAUUGGGGGUAAUGCCUGCCCAGUGACACUGUUAAACGGCCGCGGUAUCCUAACCGUGCAAAGGUAGCGUAAUCACUUGUCUUUUAAAUAAAGACUAGAAUGAAUGGCCAAACGAGGCUCUACCUGUCUCUUACAAAUAAUCAGUGAAAUUGAUCUUCCCGUGCAAAAGCGGGGAUAACACUAUAAGACGAGAAGACCCUGUGGAACUUCAAAUAUAAAAUCAACUAUCACCAACACCCACCCACGGGCCUUAUACCAAAUAGCACCUGAUUUUUAUUUUCGGUUGGGGCGACCUCGGAACAAAACAAAACCUCCGAAAAAUAAAAAACCCUUUAAACCUAGAACAACAGUUCAAAG